UACGGAGGAUGCAAGCGUUAUCCGGAAUGAUUGGGCGUAAAGCGUCCGCAGGUGGCUGUGUAAGUCUGCUGUUAAAGAGUCUAGCUCAACUAGAUAAAAGCAGUGGAAACUACACGGCUAGAGUACGUUCGGGACAGAGGGAAUUCCUGGUGUAGCGGUGAAAUGCGUAGAGAUCAGGAAGAACACCGGUGGCGAAGGCGCUCUGCUAGGCCGUAACUGACACUGAGGGACGAAAGCUAGGGGAGCGAAUGGG
RNAcentral lists this ribosomal RNA (253 nucleotides) under uncultured bacterium. Its description in RNAcentral is "partial 16S ribosomal RNA". It matches the Rfam family "Bacterial small subunit ribosomal RNA", at positions 524 to 776 of the family's 1533-position model. The record is from RNAcentral.